GGCAUCGUAGCUCAGUUGGCUAGAGCGUUGGCUGUACGUAAGAUAUCCCCUUGCUGGCGUGGGUUCGGAUCCUACCGAGGCCA
This 83-nucleotide transfer RNA is filed under the name Schistocephalus solidus. It matches the Rfam family "tRNA". From Rfam's summary of the family: Transfer RNA (tRNA) molecules are approximately 80 nucleotides in length. Their secondary structure includes four short double-helical elements and three loops (D, anti-codon, and T loops). The record is from Rfam by way of RNAcentral. Lineage: Eukaryota; Metazoa; Platyhelminthes; Cestoda; Diphyllobothriidea; Diphyllobothriidae.